RNAcentral lists this non-coding RNA (84 nucleotides) under human gut metagenome. RNAcentral's name for it is "yjdF RNA". It matches the Rfam family "azaaromatic riboswitch aptamer (yjdF RNA)", at positions 7 to 90 of the family's 101-position model. The record is from RNAcentral.
GGAAAGAAAAACACAUGCCGGUUGGUAGUCCGGCGCGGCGCAGCCGUCAGUAACCCUCCCUCCUGUGGGUCGUCCCCUUUCCCG